RNAcentral lists this ribosomal RNA (480 nucleotides) under uncultured bacterium. RNAcentral's name for it is "bacterial SSU rRNA". It matches the Rfam family "Bacterial small subunit ribosomal RNA", at positions 30 to 506 of the family's 1533-position model. The record is from RNAcentral.
UUGAACGCUGGCGGUAUGCUUUACACAUGCAAGUCGAACGGGCUAUGGGGCUUGCUCCAUAGUUAGUGGCGAACGGGUGAGUAAUAUAUCGGAACAUAUCCGGAAGUGGGGGAUAACGUAGCGAAAGUUACGCUAAUACCGCAUAUGCCCUGAGGGGGAAAGGGGGGGAUCGCAAGACCUCUCGCUUUCGGAGUGGCCGAUAUCGGAUUAGCUAGUUGGUGAGGUAAAGGCUCACCAAGGCGACGAUCCGUAGCUGGUCUGAGAGGACGACCAGCCACACUGGAACUGAGACACGGUCCAGACUCCUACGGGAGGCAGCAGUGGGGAAUUUUGGACAAUGGGGGCAACCCUGAUCCAGCCAUGCCGCGUGAGUGAAGAAGGCCUUCGGGUUGUAAAGCUCUUUCAGCCGGGAAGAAAACGCAUGGGUUAAUACCCUGUGUGGAUGACGGUACCGGAAUAAGAAGCACCGGCUAACUACGU